CCCUAAGGAAAGGCACAGCUCCUACCCAGAAACAACAUCUGUGUUCAGCACUGCUGCCUGUCUUCUGGCAGAGCUGCAUGCAUGGGGUGUGAGUCAGGCUGCACAGUCUGCUGAGAGUGAGAAGAGGAGUCAGAUGUGUUGGUUCCCUCAUCUCAAAGGUGUUCCUUCGGCUGCUGAAGUUGGGAAGCCAUGACUGUACCAUCCUGGCAAUCACAUGGUUGAAAGCCAUCAGGAAGUGGUCAAAGGUCCUGGUGGCUACUGUGGGUAUGAGGUGUCUUGCACAUGAGGAGGAGGAAGAGGAGCAUAGUCAGAUAUGAUGCUGGAGCACAGAACUUGGGGCUAGACUGCAAACCAUCCAGCCUUGAAAUGAAUCUACAAGAGUGGAAAAUUCAAUUGUCCUGAAAGAAGCACAUUUUGGAAAAUUCCAGAUAUAUAAAAAAAAGAUUACCAAAGCUAUGUUUUCACUGAAAAUGACUGGUUAAUGAAUGACAAGCAGAAAGUUUGCCUCAGCUUCUCCUCAAGAGAAACAGACACUAGAAAACCCCAGAGAAACCCUACGUGAAGAGAAGCUGCUUCCAAAACUGAUGGAACAUGGACCCCUGGCAAGUUCCUGCCAGUCCCUGGGAACACAGGAGCCUGUCCAGUGCCAUAGGAGAACCAAACAUGGAACAAGUGCCACAAAAUUCAGGACAAAAACUAGUUUGUACAGCUCCACAAACUCCUUAGAUGUUUUAAAUAACUACUUAAACAAACAGCUUAGGGAUAUUUUACAAGACUAGGAGCCCAGGACACGAGGAACUCAAUGUGCUUUCUGCACCAAAAGCAAACAUAAAACAUUGGACUACUAAUUAAAAACAAUACAAACGACCUCGCCAUCAAACCCAACACAGACAACAACUUAGAAACGUUUGUUUGAACGCAAGGGCACACAAGUUCAAAAGCAAAACAAAACAAAAAACCAUACUAACAGCUUAAAUCACAUAUACACAUUAACCUUCACACAGUGAUGGCAGGUGACUUCAAUACCCCAGUCUCACAACAGACAUAUUGUCCAAACAAAAACUAAACAGAAAUGCUGGAGGUAACUGGCAUUAUAAUCCAAGGGACCAACAGAUACUUAACAAACUUUUUACCCAAAUACAAAAAGAAUAUGCCUCCUUCUCAGCAGCUCACAGGACUUUCUCCAAGAUUGACCACAAACUUGGAUACAGAGAAAGUUUCACCGGAUACAAGAAAACUGAAGUAACACCCUGUAUCCUAACUGACCACCACAGAUGGAUUAAAGCUUGAUAUCAACAACAAAAGAAAUAACAGAAAGCUUACAAACUCAUGGAAACUGAGCAAGUCACUGAGUGAAAAAAUAGAUCAAGAAUGAAGUUAAGCAAGAUUAUUCAAACUCUCUAGAAUUAAAUGAGAAUGAAAACACAACAUACCCAAACUUAUAGGACACGGUGAAGAUGGUUCUUUAAGAGGCAAGUUCAUAGCGCUAAGUGCCUACAUGGAAAGAUUGGAGAGAUCUCAUAUUAGUAAUUUAAUAGCACACUUCUAGAACAAAAAGAAGAAAUAACACCCAAAAGAAGAGAUAAUAAGAAAUAAUUAGCUUUCUGGUCUCUCAGGCCUGGUGCCCUGAGCAGAUCUUGGGCACAAACUCCUCAGCCAGUCCCACAACACCCAGAGGAAGCUCCACUCCCAGGCACUAU
Long non-coding RNA from Mastomys coucha (southern multimammate mouse), 1700 nucleotides. RefSeq lists it as uncharacterized. The transcript is spliced from 4 exons. The record is from RefSeq and is a predicted model, not a curated record. NCBI's taxonomy places the organism in Eukaryota, Metazoa, Chordata, Mammalia, Rodentia, Muridae.